RNAcentral lists this long non-coding RNA (463 nucleotides) under Struthio camelus australis. RNAcentral's name for it is "lncRNA (ENSSCUG00000003876.1)". Lineage: Eukaryota; Metazoa; Chordata; Aves; Struthioniformes; Struthionidae. The record is from RNAcentral.
UUAUUGUCCUGGGCAUGGAACAGCCUUUGGCAAUGAAGAGUUUUCACAACAUCUUUGAUCAUCUCACCAGGUGGCAGCCAAAAGCACCUAUCAACACAGAGUAGUGUUCCAUGGUCAUGCUAUGCAUCUUGUGACACAUCUCUGUUCAUGACCUGAGCGGAUGUAAUGAAUCAUGUGAGCCAACUGUCUGCACCACAUCCUGGAAGAUGUGGGCCUGAAGGAGCGCUCCAAUCAUAGAGGAGAGCAGGAAGAAGGCAGGUAGAUCCAGCCUUGCGAGACGUAGUCCGAUGAGGAAGAAAAAGCAGUGCAUUUCAGGCAGCAGAUUCAAGCUUCAUACCUCAGUGCCAGACAGGUUUUUGCAUCGUUUGUGAUAGAUGCAGCUAAGAAGCAAGAAGCACUGGUCAGAAGACCUGCAGUACGUACUUCAGAUUUGCCGCCUGAUGUGAUUUCUGGCUGUAUAUAG